This 581-nucleotide long non-coding RNA is filed under the name Mytilus galloprovincialis (Mediterranean mussel). Lineage: Eukaryota; Metazoa; Mollusca; Bivalvia; Mytilida; Mytilidae. The record is from RNAcentral.
GGCUUCUGCCAAAGUUUAAUAAAAAAAAAAGGAUUCGUAAAGUUAUGGAUGUCUAAAAAAAAAAACUUUUGGAAUUUUGGGUGCUCAAUUUACUUUUACUUCGUACUUUAUUUUUUCUUUUUUAACUUUUUUUAUUCGACAUAAGAGUAAGGGACAAUAUUUUCCAAUUUUGCUGUGACUACUGUGUUAAUAUCCUAAUAAAGCUUUUGUCCAGGUUUUAUAAAAUUCUAUGAAGGUAAUUGAUGUCUAAUAAUACUUCAACCACAAACUACAAUUUGAAGACUCCGACGACAGACUAUAGGACCUGAUCAAGAUAUUGAUUACUGCAAGUUCUACCAUGAAAAUCUUAUCGCCAAAUAAGCAUUUUGAAAUAAUGAAUAUUUCAAGUUUAGAAGUGCAUUAACUAGCCUCUGAUAUUCAAAUUCCAUUUAAUUUUACCAACCUGCAAACAUUACCUUUUUUAAUUAAACAAGCAUACUUAGCAGGUAUGCUUACAUACACAGGCAAACGUUGCCAUAAUGAUGACACAGGUAAGAUAAUAAUAAUAAUCAAUUUCUGGACAUUUAUUGUUCAACAUUUUU